GACGAACGCUGGCGGCGUGCUUAACACAUGCAAGUCGAACGGAAAGGCCCAGCUUGCUGGGUGCUCGAGUGGCGAACGGGUGAGUAACACGUGGGUGAUCUGCCCCUAACUUCGGGAUAAGCUUGGGAAACUGGGUCUAAUACCGGAUAAGACAAUCGUUUAGUGUCGGUUGUGGAAAGUUUUUUCGGUUAGGGAUGAGCCCGCGGCCUAUCAGCUUGUUGGUGGGGUAAUGGCCUACCAAGGCGUCGACGGGUAGCCGGCCUGAGAGGGUGGACGGCCACAUUGGGACUGAGAUACGGCCCAGACUCCUACGGGAGGCAGCAGUGGGGAAUAUUGCACAAUGGGCGCAAGCCUGAUGCAGCGACGCCGCGUGGGGGAUGACGGCCUUCGGGUUGUAAACCUCUUUCGACAGGGACGAAGCUUUGGUGACGGUACCUGUAUAAGAAGCACCGGCUAACUACGUG
RNAcentral lists this ribosomal RNA (464 nucleotides) under uncultured bacterium. RNAcentral's name for it is "partial 16S ribosomal RNA". It matches the Rfam family "Bacterial small subunit ribosomal RNA", at positions 28 to 507 of the family's 1533-position model. The record is from RNAcentral.